RNAcentral lists this ribosomal RNA (736 nucleotides) under Pachyprotasis sp. YI-2013. RNAcentral describes it as "SSU rRNA". It matches the Rfam family "Eukaryotic small subunit ribosomal RNA", at positions 613 to 1310 of the family's 1831-position model. RNAcentral also lists the same sequence under 1 other name. Lineage: Eukaryota; Metazoa; Arthropoda; Insecta; Hymenoptera; Tenthredinidae. The record is from RNAcentral.
UUGCGGUUAAAAAGCUCGUAGUUGAAUCUGUGUCCCACGCUGCCGGUUCGCCGCUCGCGGUGUUUAACUGGCAUGAUUGUGGGACGUCCUACCGGUGGGCUUAGCCUUUCGGGGCGGCCCAACUAAUAUCCCAUCGCGGUGCUCUUCACUGAGUGUCGAGGUGGGCCGGUACGUUUACUUUGAACAAAUUAGAGUGCUUAAAGCAGGCUAUUUUCGCUUGAAUACUGUGUGCAUGGAAUAAUGGAAUAGGACCUCGGUUCUAUUUUGUUGGUUUUCGGAACCCCGAGGUAAUGAUUAAUAGGGACAGAUGGGGGCAUUCGUAUUGCGACGUUAGAGGUGAAAUUCUUGGAUCGUCGCAAGACGGACAGAAGCGAAAGCAUUUGCCAAAAAUGUUUUCUUUAAUCAAGAACGAAAGUUAGAGGUUCGAAGGCGAUCAGAUACCGCCCUAGUUCUAACCAUAAACGAUGCCAGCUAGCGAUCCGCCGAAGUUCCUCCGAUGACUCGGCGGGCAGCUUCCGGGAAACCAAAGCUUUUGGGUUCCGGGGGAAGUAUGGUUGCAAAGCUGAAACUUAAAGGAAUUGACGGAAGGGCACCACCAGGAGUGGAGCCUGCGGCUUAAUUUGACUCAACACGGGAAACCUCACCAGGCCCGGACACCGGAAGGAUUGACAGAUUGAGAGCUCUUUCUUGAUUCGGUGGGUGGUGGUGCAUGGCCGUUCUUAGUUGGUGGAGCGAU